This 590-nucleotide ribosomal RNA is filed under the name Diaporthe sojae. RNAcentral's name for it is "eukaryotic LSU rRNA". It matches the Rfam family "Eukaryotic large subunit ribosomal RNA", at positions 36 to 650 of the family's 3401-position model. Lineage: Eukaryota; Fungi; Ascomycota; Sordariomycetes; Diaporthales; Diaporthaceae. The record is from RNAcentral.
AAGCAUAUCAAUAAGCGGAGGAAAAGAAACCAACAGGGAUUGCCCUAGUAACGGCGAGUGAAGCGGCAACAGCUCAAAUUUGAAAUCUGGCCUCGGCCCGAGUUGUAAUUUGCAGAGGAUGCUUCUGGCGCGGUGCCUUCCGAGUUCCCUGGAACGGGACGCCACAGAGGGUGAGAGCCCCGUAUGGUCGGACACCAAGCCUGUGUGAAGCUCCUUCGACGAGUCGAGUAGUUUGGGAAUGCUGCUCUAAAUGGGAGGUAAAUCUCUUCUAAAGCUAAAUACCGGCCAGAGACCGAUAGCGCACAAGUAGAGUGAUCGAAAGAUGAAAAGCACCUUGAAAAGGGGGUUAAAUAGUACGUGAAAUUGUUGAAAGGGAAGCACUUAUGACCAGACUUGGGCCGGGCGGCUCAUCAGGGGUUCUCCCCUGUGCACUCCGCCCGGCACAGGCCAGCAUCGGUUUUCGCGGGGGGAUAAGACCGACGGGAACGUAGCACCCUCCGGGGUGUGUUAUAGCCCGGCGGACGAUACCCUCGCGGGGACCGAGGACCGCGCUUCGGCAAGGAUGCUGGCGUAAUGGUCAUCAGUGACCC